ACAGUUAUCUCAUUAUCGUGCUGGAAGUAGGCUUGCAGUGAUACUCUAUGUUCCCGGUGUUUGGCUGUACGGCGAUUACAUCAUUUGCCCACCGUGGCUCCGCCUCCACCGCGGCUCCUCCCCCACCGUCAUUUUCCCGGUGUUGUCACAUGUCUAUUAACCGGUGCGAAAAUUUCCUCACCAUCACGUCCCUAGCUGGAAGGUGAGAUGUUUCUAAAAGAGGAGAGGAGAGUGUGUGUGAGAGAGAGAGUAUGAGAGAAUGUGGGCAAGAGUGAGUGAGAGAGAGUAUGGGGAGAGAAGAGAGUGCAAGUGAGAGAGUGCGAGAGUAUGGGGGAGAGAGUGAGA
Molecule: long non-coding RNA, 345 nt
Organism: Ictalurus punctatus (channel catfish)
Lineage: Eukaryota; Metazoa; Chordata; Actinopteri; Siluriformes; Ictaluridae
Source: Ensembl